RNAcentral lists this ribosomal RNA (532 nucleotides) under Lasiodiplodia theobromae. Its description in RNAcentral is "SSU rRNA". It matches the Rfam family "Eukaryotic small subunit ribosomal RNA", at positions 566 to 1102 of the family's 1831-position model. The record is from RNAcentral. Lineage: Eukaryota; Fungi; Ascomycota; Dothideomycetes; Botryosphaeriales; Botryosphaeriaceae.
GGCAGCAGCCGCGGUAAUUCCAGCUCCAAUAGCGUAUAUUAAAGUUGUUGCAGUUACUAAGCUCGUAGUUGAACCUUGGGCCUGGCUGGCCGGUCUGCCUCACCGCAUGUACUGGUUCGGCCGGGUCUUUCCUCCUGGGGAUCCGCAUGCCCUUCACUGCGUGUGUUGGGGAACCAGGACUUUUACUCUGAAAAACUUAGAGUGUUCAAAGCAGGCCUUUGCUCGAAUACAUUAGCAUGGAAUAAUAGAAUAGGACGUGCGGUCCUAUUUUGUUGGUUUCUAGGACCGCAGUAAUGAUUAAUAGGGAUAGUCGGGGGCAUCAGUAUUCAGUUGUCAGAGGUGAAAUUCUUGGAUUUACUGAAGACUAACUACUGCGAAAGCAUUUGCCAAGGAUGUUUUCAUUAAUCAGUGAACGAAAGUUAGGGGAUCGAAGACGAUCAGAUACCGUCGUAGUCUUAACCGUAAACUAUGCCGACUAGGGAUCGGGCGAUGUUAUUCUUUUGACUCGCUCGGCACCUUACGAGACAUCAAU